CCAGCUUGCUGGGUGGAUUAGUGGCGAACGGGUGAGUAACACGUGAGUAACCUGCCCUGGACUCUGGGAUAAGCGUUGGAAACGACGUCUAAUACCGGAUAGGACCCUGGACCGCAUGGUUCGGGGUGGAAAGUUUUUUCGGUCUGGGAUGGACUCGCGGCCUAUCAGCUUGUUGGUGAGGUAAUGGCUCACCAAGGCGUCGACGGGUAGCCGGCCUGAGAGGGUGACCGGCCACACUGGGACUGAGACACGGCCCAGACUCCUACGGGAGGCAGCAGUGGGGAAUAUUGCACAAUGGGCGAAAGCCUGAUGCAGCAACGCCGCGUGCGGGAUGACGGCCUUCGGGUUGUAAACCGCUUUUAGUAAGGAAGAAGGGGAGCUUGCUCCUUGACGGUACUUGCAGAAAAAGGACCGGCUAACUACGUGCCAGCAGCCGCGGUAAUACGUAGGGUCCGAGCGUUGUCCGGAAUUAUUGGGCGUAAAGAGCUCGUAGGCGGUUUGUCGCGUCUGCUGUGAAAUCUGGAGGCUCAACCUCCAGCCUGCAGUGGGUACGGGCAGACUAGAGUGCGGUAGGGGAGAAUGGAAUUCCUGGUGUAGCGGUGGAAUGCGCAGAUAUCAGGAGGAACACCGAUGGCGAAGGCAGUUCUCUGGGCCGUAACUGACGCUGAGGAGCGAAAGCGUGGGGAGCGAACAGGAUUAGAUACCCUGGUAGUCCACGCCGUAAACGUUGGGCGCUAGAUGUGGGGACC
Molecule: ribosomal RNA, 749 nt
Filed under: Agromyces sp.
Lineage: Bacteria; Bacillati; Actinomycetota; Actinomycetes; Micrococcales; Microbacteriaceae
Description: bacterial SSU rRNA
Rfam family: Bacterial small subunit ribosomal RNA
Source: RNAcentral